Molecule: ribosomal RNA, 253 nt
Filed under: uncultured bacterium
Lineage: Bacteria
Description: partial 16S ribosomal RNA
Rfam family: Bacterial small subunit ribosomal RNA
Source: RNAcentral
UACGUAGGGGGCAAGCGUUGUCCGGAAUCAUUGGGCGUAAAGCGCGUGUAGGCGGCCCGAUAAGUCCGCUGUGAAAGUCCAGGGCUCAACCCUGGGAUGCCGGUGGAUACUGUCGGGCUCGAGUCCGGAAGAGGCGAGUGGAAUUCCUGGUGUAGCGGUGAAAUGCGCAGAUAUCAGGAGGAACACCAAUGGCGAAGGCAGCUCGCUGGGACGUGACUGACGCUGAGGAGCGAAAGCAUGGGGAGCGAACAGG